AUUGCUUAUUGGCUCCUUGGAUCUAAGAUCAAAGUGUAGUGUCUGUUUUUAUCAGUUUAAUAUCUGAUCUGUCCUUUAUUUGAGAACUGUAUAUUAAAUUGAUUUUUGAAACGGGGAUGAAAUAGGAGCUUGUUCUGUCCAUCUCAUUUAUUGACCUGAUAUUGCAGUGUCUCCAGGAACAGUGCAUCUUCU
This is a small nuclear RNA of Mauremys reevesii (Reeves's turtle), 192 nucleotides long. RefSeq annotates it as U2 spliceosomal RNA. NCBI's taxonomy places the organism in Eukaryota, Metazoa, Chordata, Testudines, Geoemydidae. The record is from RefSeq and is a predicted model, not a curated record. The transcript has a single exon.